Molecule: ribosomal RNA, 492 nt
Filed under: uncultured bacterium
Lineage: Bacteria
Description: partial 16S ribosomal RNA
Rfam family: Bacterial small subunit ribosomal RNA
Source: RNAcentral
AGUGAACGCUGGCGGUAGGCCUAACACAUGCAAGUCGAACGGCAGCACAGUAAGAGCUUGCUCUUACGGGUGGCGAGUGGCGGACGGGUGAGGAAUACAUCGGAAUCUACUUUUUCGUGGGGGAUAACGUAGGGAAACUUACGCUAAUACCGCAUACGACCUACGGGUGAAAGCAGUGGAUCUUCGGACCUUGCGCGAUUGAAUGAGCCGAUGUCGGAUUAGCUAGUUGGCGGGGUAAAGGCCCACCAAGGCGACGAUCCGUAGCUGGUCUGAGAGGAUGAUCAGCGACACGGGAACGGAGACACGGUCCAGACACCUACGGGAGGCAGAAGUGGGGAAUAUUGGACAAUGGGCGCAAGCAUGAUCCAGCAAUACCGCGUGGGUGAAGAAGGCCUUCGGGUUGUAAAGCCCUUUUGUUGGGAAAGAAAAGCAGCAGGUUAAUACCCCGCUGUUCUGACGGUACCCAAAGAAUAAGCACCGGCUAACUUCGUG